Molecule: non-coding RNA, 1677 nt
Filed under: Pongo abelii (Sumatran orangutan)
Lineage: Eukaryota; Metazoa; Chordata; Mammalia; Primates; Hominidae
Source: RNAcentral
AGUGUGUCUGGAGGGGUGCACAGGGAGUGGCACGGCAAAGGGAAUUGCCCCUCAGGAACAGAGGGUUAUGUCAGAGGGGAGGCGCGAACCAGGUCGCAUAGCACUUUCUAGGACGUAAUAAAGAGUAUGGAUUCUAUGUUGCCAUGGGAAGCCAGCAUCCUUGCAUGAGGUGGUUAAGUGCUGAGAGAAGAUAAGUCAGGUUAAGGGGCUAGAGAGAGACUGGAAGGCUGGGGAGGCUAUUUGAAACAAAUGGGCAGAGGAGCUCUCUCUGAGGAAGUGACUUUAGGGCUGAGUCUUGAAAUAUCUGAAGCAGCAACCAUGCAGAUUUCUGGGAUAAGCCAGUUCCAGAUAGAGAAAAUAGCACUGAAGUGGGAAUAAGCAUGACAUAUCCUGUGAAGAGCAAGAAGGUCAGCGUGGCCAGGGCACAAUACCAGAGGAAGCAGGGGGAGGAGGCCAGCCCUGCGGAAGCCGUGGGACAGUACUUGGCUUUUAUUCUAAAUACACUGGAAAGAUUUUCGAGGACUCUUGCUUGUUUGUUGAGGGAACUGGCUGAAAACCCAGUAGAUUUUGGUGGCUGUUCUUGACUAAGAAGAGUGUGGAGCAAAGCCACAGAGCCAUGGCCCCAGACAAGACCUGGAUGAAGUGCUACAGCCUAGUGGUGCCAAGACUGGGAGGGAAACAGAACAGCACUAUGAGACAGAAUCCAGAAGCAAGGAGAGGAAGGAAAGGCCUUGGACCCCCUAAGGAGAAGGAGGGUAAACACCCAGGAGCAGGAUUGCUGGGUCAUAUGAAUGCACAUUUUCCCCCUGGAUUGCAAAUAAUCUGAACUAGGGUAAAACCAUUACAAAGUGGCCUUCAAACAUCAUGUCUGUAUUGGAACUGAAUGAUUGAUCAGACAUUUAAAUACGGAAACUGGGAAUUCAGCUGACCAGAAUUUCACCAGGGUGACAUGACAGUUUGUUGCUAAGGAACUGAAGACUGUGUCAUAAGUGAGCAUUCUGAUGAAGAGGAGUGAACAGUUUGCAGCAGAUUGGAUAUUAAGUAUAAAUCAGCUCUCUGUGUAUGUCCCUGUUUGGUGGUAUAACUGACAACAGAUAGGGUUCCUGAUGGGAUUGGGUUCCACCAAUCAGAGCCACUUGCAUGAGACCUCAACUGAGAGCCAGGAUGUCAUCUCCACCAGAACAAGGACUAGGUUUUGUAUGUUGCUGUUCCGUUAGUACCAGAACAUGCCCACCCCUGCUCAGUAAAUAAACGUUAAGUGAAUGAAUUAAAAAGUGAAAGGCUGUGUUUGAAGAGGAGGGGCUCACUCUAAAUCUUGAAGAUGUUCAGCCUCGAAAAAGUAGAAGUCAUUGUGACCAAAGAUGAUGCCACCACACCUUUGAAAAAGAAAGGUGAUGAGCCUCAAAAGGAAAAACACAUUCAAGAAAGGUCAAUGCUAAUGAGUAUGAAUGAACACAUAGCAAAAACUUCAGAUACAACAGCCAUGCCAAGGGCUGGUGGGACAGGUGAGGCUGAGUGAAUAAAAAGAAGUAGCCCCAGAGACACUCAAGGUGGUUCCAGCUGCUUUGAAGGAGGUUUCUUUCUAAGAGGUGGCUGGGCUUGGUUUCAGUGUAUUCCAAUUUGGGACUCAUGAAUUGCAACUGAUAAAGAUCAAAAAACUGAUACAGAAAUUGUUUU